GUCCCUGAUGUUUCCAGGACAAUAUUAAAAGUUGUCCUUUGUAUUUUUCUCCUCAAAAUAAAGGUUAAAACACUGAAGAUAGUUGCCAUUCUUACUUAUACUGGAAAAUAAUUUAUUUAUUUUGGCAACUCUUCACAUCAGUCCAGCCUUUCUUUUUUCAUGGCCCUGACCUUUCUUCUUCACAUGCCAGAUUUGGUCUGUGUUGCACCCCAAAGCCAACCGGACAUUGCAGCAGAAAAUUCAAUCCCUGUGGUCAGUGUUUUCACAUUCUUUAGUACAUGAAGUGUAUGACCUGAAAAGUUUAUUGGAAAGGAAAUGUCUUUAGAAAUACAUGUGCUCUGUUUUCCUGAAGAGCAAAAGGAAAAAAAAACCCCAAAACUCCAGACUGAAAAUGAACUAUAUAUGGAUUGUACUGUUGCUUUAACACUUUUUUUUUGUCUACGAAAGUGCAGAAUUUAGAAAAUGAAGAAUUUCAGUUUGAUUCAGACUUGCAGUGGUUGAUGCAUUUCCCAGGGAAUCCUUGUUCUUUGUCCUUGCAGCUGAUGUGUUUUGGUUCUUUUCCCAUGUGAAGACAUUUUUAUAAGCAUAUGGGAACUUCACUUUAACUCAGAAUUAAAAUAUCAUAUUUUACAAGUGUAAGUCUAAUUAGCAGAUACCUCAUUGUUGCUCCUUUAAUGUUAAAGGAAGAGAAUCCAAUACAUUUGAUAAACUUUGGGUUUGCUGUUGAGUGGGUGAGCAUAAGCUAAAGGUCUGAUGUCAGCCUUUGAAAGAGAAAUUGGGUGAAUUUUCUGGGCUCUUGAAGUGAUUCUUACUUCAGUGCUUUAUAUUCCAAGGAAUUCCAAGCAGUGUCUCUCAUAUCUCUUUCUUAAAAACAUCUGCAGACAGGCAAUGGCCACAUUAAGUACUGCAGUGGGUAUGUUCAUAUCUCAUGUGUCUGUAAAUACCCUACUGAGCAGAUCAGAGAGAGCAGAAAUGGCUUAGUGAAAAAAAAAAAUAAUGCCUGAAAUGUUGUGGCUUUUGGAAUUGGCAGGGAAUUGCUGUGUAUCUAAUUUUUCAUCUCCCAGCUAUCCCUUACGUAAAGUGUUUUUAUUCUGUGAUCGGCUGAUGCAUUUAACCCAGCCCAGAAAUUGUUUUUGAGUCAAAGUACUUCUGCCGAGGUCCCCCCUGCACAGAUGAGUGGUGAAAUAAGGUGAGAUGAGGUUAAAAGGUAGAAGUGAAGUUAGGGAAGCCAGAAGAUGCCAGAAAAUGGUUCAGCUGUGAAACUCAGCAUGGUCCAUCAGCCUCUGAAUGUUCUGAAGGUGGAGAAGGGCUUCAGUGCUGAACUCAGGCUUUAAUGACUUUAUACAACUUGGUAAUUGUGUGAUAUAACCAAGUUCCAUGGUGUAACCACUCUCAGAUUUAAAUCUCUGCAUCUUUUCCCAGAGAUCCCUUCAUUCAUUCAAUAAUCCAACAUUAAAUUUGCCUCUGGAGAAGCCCAGGGUGUAGGAAUAAGUGUCUGGCUCUUCAUAAGAUUGACUUUUGCAUAUUGGGCAAUAAUUAACUAAAAAUAGUAUGCUAUGUGUACAGCUCAUGUGCCAUAAUGGGAACACCUACAUCUUUUAUUCCUUCUUUCCAAGAAUUUUAGGGAAUUUAAUGUUAAUAGAUUUCUUUCAAGACGUAUUAAUUAAUGUGUCUGUGCUCAUUUAUCGAGCUCUAUGUGAGACAGCUGGGCAGUCCGACACUGGCCUGCAACCCCUGGAUCCGCUGAGGGUAAUGGAAUCAGCUCCAAUAGUUGUGCUGUCACCAGCCCUAGAAGGAGAUUUUGGCAAACAGAAGAAACAUGUAAAUAGGUGCUUUUCUGUUGUUGUGUUCUUUAGUUUAAAAUUAAAUACCUCCUUGGAGUUCCAGAUCUGUCUGGUAACAGGAUAAAUAACUCUUCAGUAUAACCCAGCAGCUUGGCUUGGACUUUGAGGCACAGUCAUUUGUUAUAUUUUAUUUUUUUUAUUUGUGCAAUCACAGAAGUAAUUUGACUUGUUACAAAUAAUAUUUUGAUAAACUUCAGUAGAAAUUAGCAAACCAGCAUCAAAUGAGAUUUAUAGAAAGUUGCUUGGGAAAAUGUGUUGUAAGUAGUCUGCAAUUCAAGGCAUUUCCUUUGCAGGAUGCUUAUCAAGUCUGCAUGUGCUACUUCCAAAUUGAACUAGAACGUAGAUGAGAGCUAUUUUUGAUAGAAUGGGGGGGGGGAGAGAAAAUAAAGCCCAGUUGGAAAGUAGUAACAGGUUUUUUUCUCAUUGCCUUAGGAUGUAAAUCCUGUAAGUGUGCAGAGAGAAAACAGACUUUGAAACAGCCGAAGAAAACAGAUUUAUCUGUGAUGUUUGAGAUGAUGCUGGUAGUGUAAACGUGAUUGAAAUAGUCAUUGUAGGAGUGGUGAGUAAAUAUACCAGAAGCUUUUGGAUAAAUUGACUUCUCUUUGCUGCUCAAUAUGCCAAGUAAAGGCAAGAUGUCCUGCUUGUUUCUGGGAUGUUCCUUCCUCAGGGAGGCUGUAUCAGGAGGAGCAGCUGCUGGUUUUAAGGAUUGUCCUGCUCCCAGAUGCCAAUGUAGAGCUCUUCUUUUAUGUCCUGGAUGUGGUUGCUGGCCUCUUCUGAGCUCUUGGAAUUAAGAUGUUGCAAGACCGGCGGGGAAAUGAUCCAGGAAAUAUUUUUGUGAGGAUUUCUUGUAGAUUAAUCAGUUUUUUAGCCUCUUGGUGUUUCACAAAUCAGCAGUGAAACCUGGAAUGUGGAAGCUGUCUACACUUUUCAGGAUGAAGUGCUGCCUUAUUUGACCAUCAGGCUGAUGGACAAACUUACAGGACAAGCUUAAUCUUUUUUUCCAGACUGAAAAAUUACCAGGCUGAAGAGGGAUCUCACCUGUCUUUCUCCUCUUAUUAAUUUUUGGCUUUUCAUCUGACUUCAGUCAAGUUUGAUAAAGGCAGAGACAUUAAGCAUACCAGGGCUCAAGACUCAUGGAGAUGAGGAGCUUGGGAGAGCAAAUCACCCUCCCAUGGUCUGGCAGAGUGGUCCUGAUCCCAGCCCUGUGCACAGGAUAUGUGGAAGGAGCAACCUGGGAAAGUGAGAGAGGAGCUCUGAGGAUCCUGCGACCGAGUGGUGUCACUUGCAUAAAAUCCUGUGUCUGAGUAUGCAUUAAGGUUGUAUAGGAAGAGGCAUCAUAUUUUUUUCCUUCAAGCUCCAGUUUAUUUAUGUAAUACCUUUGAUCAAGGUAUUUCAGAGCAGUAGUGGGAUUGUAAUUUAUUGAUGUAAUGGAGACUGACAUUUUGUACAAGGAAAAUGGCAAACAGGUGCUGUUGUCAGGCAAAGUGAUGAAUGUAUAAUGUUGAAAAAAUUGUGACCAAAGAUCCUGGUCGGAAUAAUGCACAAAAACAUUUUCACCCAGGUCCCAGUCUUUGUGACUGCAGAUUCACUUGGGAUUUGAAAGGGAGAUUCCUCUAGCAAGUAGCUUGCAGGUUGUUCAUAAAAAUUGCUCAUGGGAGGAAGGUCCACAUAUAUUGUUGCUAAGCCACUGUUGAGAAACUGAUUUUGCAAUGAAAAUGUUUAUUUGUUUAGAAAGAAAAAUCUGUGCUAGAAUGCUACGCAUGCUCUACUUAUGUGUUUUCAUUCUAAACUCUAUUUUUAUUUUGCUCUCUGCAGCCAGUCUGUAACUAAAACAUUCCUAGCAUCCUUUGGCUGGAAAUUCAGUCAAGGACUUUUUUGUCCUGCUUUCAAGAAGAUGAUUCCAGUCUUCCUUGAAGCUACUCCAAAGGAAAUUUCCUUCUCUAGUGGAUAAGGUGACAACAAGGGAAGUCACUGCUUAUGGUCCAAAGGCUUAGUGACAUCCUCUUGUUGUUGUCAUGUCCUGCCAUGCUUAAUCUAACUACAAAUGGAAAUAUUUUAGGAUAGCUACAAUGGCACACAAUAAGAGUUGGAGCCACUCAGUGAUGUUAAUUCUGCUUGAGUUCACACAGCUCACGAGCUGGCUGUUAGCAGAGUAAUGCAGAUAAAUGUUUUGUGGGCACAGAGGAGAGGGGCUGUGUCCGUGUCCGUGGGCGACAGACCUCCCUCCCCACCUCCCCAUCAAUCGAAGGGUAUUUGCCAUCACAGAUUGGAUUUUCUUGCUCAACCAGGGAUUGGCUCUGACCAGUGUGUUUGUUUUGUUGUUCAUCCCUGGUGACUGUCAGUAGCACUUGGCUGAAUAAACAGAGACUAUUGAUCAAAUUUGAAGUCAUUAGCUUGGCAGUUUAAAUAGAUGCUGGCCUAUAUGAUUAGAACAAGGGAGUAACACAUAGGCUGAUACCAGCUUUAUUUGGAAUAAAAGCCUUCUUUUCAUAGAGUCCUGUUUGGUGCCAUUCAGAUCCCAGUUUUGUGCCUCCCUUAGGUCACACAAGAAUGAGAUGUUUUGCUUAAAAUACCUAAAGUGAAGAGGGUGGCUUUGCUUGUGUAAGAGAGCAAUAACAUGGAUAUAACAGGGAUCUGCUGGACUUUGGUACUAAUUGGAGAUCAGCUUUGGAAGAAGGGGGUGCUACCAUGAGGUUAUUGGUUAACCACAUCCAGCAAGGGCAUGCCCUGGGAGGAAUCCUGCUCCAGGCCCCCAGCUCUGAAGCAGCAGCAGUGUUUGAUUGUCCAUCUCGCUGCUGCUCAGCUGAGACACACGGCUGUGAGAUCUGGGUGUUUACACCCAAACACCACGGGUGAUUAAUUACUUCUGAAGGAAGUAGUUUGCUUUUAGUGGCUGCUGUCAUGGCAUGUGCCUGACAACCUUCUCCAUCAUUUGAACAUUUUGGACGGAGCAUUUUGCUGAGGGAGUUCUGGAGUGCUCCAAGAUCCCAUUCCAGAGGAUGGGCAGUGCUGUGUGAAUGCCCCAGCAUGGAACAGCACUAAUCACCUUCCUGCCAGCCCACUGCUCCUGAGUCACAGAGCUGCGUGUCCCUCGAGAGCGUGCACAUUCAGCACCGGGAUGCACACGGAUUGACCCACAUUUCCUCAGGCACAGCAGCAGUCACGUGCAGCUCAUUGCCAGGAAAUCAGAUGAGAACUGAUGUAACUCAGUUCAUCCAGCGUUUGCAUGGCCUGGGCCAAAGUGCUUUUAGGGAUUUACCACUUGUGUGACUAAUAGGUGAUUAGGUGGAUUUUAGGGAGUGUGUCUUUGUGCUUCUGGUAGACAAGACUUAUCCUGUAGAAUUGGCAGCACCAAAAAAAGUCUCUUACACAUCAUUCUCUCAUUGUAGUUUUUAAAUGGGACUGGUUAUUAAAUCAGAUUUUCUUCCUCUAUGUAAAAGCUUUCAUACUAAUUCCUUGGCAAGUUUGUUAUUUAGGGAUGUUUUCCCUGCUACAGCUAGACAGAUGUCCUGUAGAAGAAAACAAUGAUGCAGUCCUGGGGUUAAUAAAAGAACAAAAGUAGGUGAAUGAAUGAUAAAAAUCUGGCUUCACAAAGCUAUUAAUACCUCUGUAAUUGCGGUCUUUUUUUGGAACAAGCCUUGUUUCUGUCCCGUUCUCCUUCGCCUCUGCCACAGCUUCCUUAUUCCUGCAGUCCCCCUCCUUCCCCAGUGCCACCACUGUCACCUCCCCACAUCCCUCCCUGGGUUCAGCAGGGCUGGCACAAGGCCCAGGCUAAUAAGCCCAGACGAGCUGAUUCCCUGGCAGGUGUCCAGGUGGCUGCUCACCUUUUAGCAUCGCUGCCCUCCACAAACACGGGUGUUUGGGACUUCCUUGGGUUUCUUAUUUGUAAAUGAGGAGAGUUGGAGCUGAGUUCUCUGAACAAAUGAAAAAAUAGACAUAAAGACAAUGGAGAGCGAUUUGUAGCCUCUUGGGUGGAUGUUGGAAGGGAUUAUAAAGGGCUGAAUAAUCACAAAACAAGCUACUGGAGAUUGGAAAAAAUUCCAAGAGUUAAAAACAAUAUUGUAAAACAGCUAAUAUACCUGAUUCAAAAUGAGAAAGGAUGCCAGGAAUUUAAUUUGGGCAAACACAAUUUUUCUUCUUUCUUCCUGUUUUUAAACUUUGCACCUUUGUUUUAGCUUUUGUGUAGGAAAUUAAAGUAAUUGUUCCAUUUUGUAGCUCAGCACUUAAUCAGCCUGAAUUAUUUUUUAAAAUUUUACCUGGAUGGUCAAGGUGUCAUUUUUCCCAUAUUUUUGCACAAGCUUCUUGAAUCGUCUGGAAUCCGAUGGAUAUAAUUUGAAUAUGAAAUGGUAAUGAAGACAAAAAUAGAUGUGUGCAAGAGCUGGUAACAAGGAAACCAUCAAGAAGAGAAGUCAGUGGAAUGUUUAAUUCCAUCUAGUGUGGGCAGUUUUUCCUCUACGACAUUAAAAGCGUUUAUACCUCAGUACUGAGAUCCAAGUUAGGAUCAAGACUUCAUUUAUUAUGGGCCAUUAGGCUCUGCCACUUCUUUCCAGCACCAACUCCAUCUUGAUGAUCCAUAUGUUUGUUAUCCUCAGGUUGAUAAUGACAGCCCAGGGAGCUCUGGGAAGAAAGAAGUACUUGGGAAUGAAUUCCAGCUGGUUCAGUUUUUGGCUGGCCACUCUCUUAAGAAGCCUAGAACAGAAUGAACUCAUGGCUCUGGGCUUUUGUGCUCCCUUAACUCUUCCCUGAACACGGACUUUCACUGCCCUGAUUUUUAAGUCGGUGCUCGCUCUGGGUCAGUUCAGGAAGAGCUGCUCCAUCUCAUGCAUUUGUGACCGUCCUGACUGCAAAGCAAACAGCAGGUCUGAGAAUAAGGAAGGCAAAAGCUGUAAGAGCAUGAAAAAGUUUCUUUGGCAGCGAGGCUCAUGGCUUUGAAAAGCUUUACAUGACAAGACUUGAGGCUUUUUAUGUUUCUAUCCAAACAUGCCAAAAAGCACUCAGCAUACCUCAGUUAAAAUCCAAGCAUGGAAAAGAGCGAGUUGGUGUGGAAAUCAGGGAAAGUUUCUGAGGUAUUUGUUAACCUGAGGUAUGUGGUGGUAAAGCAGUGAAACGGUGAUGCCUUACUUGAAAGAAAAAAUGCUUUUCAUUUACUUGCAAAAAAAUUUGGGGUAUUGACUGUGCCUCUUGAAAAGUCAUCCAGUACCUGCUGGAAUUUGUCCUGGUAGCAGUUACUGAAGUUAGUAAUGCCAGAGGAGGUGCAUGGUAAGUGUUAUUCUUUGUGAUAGAUUUUGAGCAAUGACUUGAUACAAGAUUUCCAGUUAUUAAAGAAAUGUAGAAGAGUCUGGGUUAUACUGAAAUAAGUUAGUCCCUGUUCUGAGGUUUCAUCUUUCUUUGUAGAUGGUAGUGUGUAGGCCAACUUUUCCUGUGGAAUUUCUGUACUGAAAAUUCUUCAUUCAGUGUCUCAGUAUGAAUGAAGAAAUGUGGAUUCUUGAACGUUGUGACCACAGUGGUCAUCAGUGUUUUUAUACUUUUAUUUAUGAGCUUCUAAAAAUUACCCUGGCAAAAUUUGUUGGUUUGUAUUUUCAAUGUUUUUAGAAUGGGGAUUUUUUUCCCUCUUUCAUUUUGCUGGAAGUUAAUCUCAACAUCAGCAUCUUCCUGGGUCGUUGAAGUGAUUCCUUUGCCAGCUUCCUGCUCUCGGUUCACAAGGAAGCUUCAAGUUUAACACUGAGUUGAGCAGUCCAGAGCCAAAGCUGUAUAUUGAGCACUAAGGCAAUGUUCCAUGUGGAUUGUUUAACUACAGCUCCUUUACUGAUACAUUUAAGCCUCGUGGGAUGAGCUAAUAGUUUACAUAGUUUACAACUUACACAUAAGGCCAUUCAUUUUUCUGAAUAACAGUGUUCUUGCUUUUGAGCAAUCUACUUAGCAUUUGAUGAAAACCAGACAUUAAUUUUGUACUGUUUAUUAAAAUACCCCAAUUGGAAACUUUUGUUCCUGUAAAGUUGAUUUUAUACCUUAUUUAAUUGCAGUAAGAUAUCAAAGAAGUCAAAUACUGGUUUUGUCUGGAAAAACAAAUCUCAGUUUUAAAUUGAGAUUGAGAAUGUGUUAAAUUACAUUUUUUUCCUCUUUUACAAUAGUACUUAACAUUCAAAUUACUUUGUUGAAAUACUGACACUACCUGUAUGUGAAGGAAUGUAAAUACCAGCCACUCUUUGGAGAUACAAAACAUAUGUUUUAUGUUUUAAACUGAGAAAUCUGCUUUGUUUUAUCUUGGAAGUUGUAGACCUUUUGCUGUUUGACAAAAAUUCAGUGUUUCUAUUGAACUGUUGCUUGGCUGUAUCUACUCAAAUUUUGCCAAGAUUUUUCUGUACCAAGGUUUCUUCUUUCACAGGUUUCACGUGUUCUGCAGCAGCAGGUCAGACUCCCUUCUGCUUUCUGCAUAACAAGCAGCUCUUCUGAGGCAAGGCAAUAUUUAUAUAUUGAGCUGGAGAUAGUACUGGCUUAGAAACUACAAAACUGUGUGUUGUGUUCCUGGUAUUUCAAAAGCAUUUUGCUCCAUGGACAGGACCCCAAGGCUGGGUCUGGUUUAACUGGUGUGAGUCUCCUAAUUGUAGUGCUCAGUUAAGCACCCACAAAUGUGUUGCUUCUGGUUUUAGUCUCUUGUUCUGCACUUUCUCCUCCUUUAUAAAGCAGCAGAGAGCAGUUGUGCAGGUUUUCCUUACGGAACUGGGAAAUGAAUGGCUUGUAAAAGCUAGAAGUCCAUUAAUUGGGUGGUGUUUUGUGGGAGAAAAAAAGCUGCUGUUAAUAUAGAAGCAUACUGGUAACUUGAAUCUCACAAACUGCUUAUAAAAUGUGCAGUUGUGGUAGUGGUCUGGGUAGCCCCAGAGAGAAUAUCUGGGAAGAGGAAGAAUCUAAAUUUCUGUGUUUUAUAAUGAACAUAAUAUUUAUUGGGAAAGCCUUUUAUGUACUGAAUUAGUAAGAAAUGAUCAGCUGCACAGGAGAGUCCUUCUAGGCUUCUUUUUGGUAAUGAAAAGAAGGUGUUCAAGGCUUUAUACCUUGAACUUAGGAAAGUGAAGCUCAGAGACACCUUAAAUGAAACACACCUCCCUGAAAUGCUGACUGAGCAUAGGCACUGUUCUCCACUAAAGGAGUGUCAGCCAUUUAAUACCUAAUUUAUAUCUCAGCAAUAUCUAAAACAUUCAGAGUUUUUUUCUAUAUUUGAUUUUUAAUUUAUUGUUGUUCACCUCACAUUUUCCAGAGAAACAAAUUCAUAUAUCUGAACAUUUGGACAGGAUUUCUAGAAAGGACCUUUUAUUACUGGGACUCCAGGAUUAGGGCUGGGUUUGAGCUCGAUCCCCAGCUCUGCCUGGGACCUGUUGUGAACAGUGCUGGGAUGAGAACAGGGUCCUGUUCGAUGCUGACACUUCUAGGGAUUUGAAAAAGAUGCUUUUGAAAGCUCAGUGAUAUUAAAAGUACAAAAUAUUUUUGGCGAUCUUAGUAAAAUUCACUUUGGAAUCUGAGUUAUGAGUGCAUGUGGGUGGAGGAACAUGGUUUUCAUGCUUUAGGAAUUUUUUUCCAGAUGCUUUUGUGGUGCUUGGGUAACUAUAAAAGCAAAGUAUUGAGAUUUCAGCAUGGAUUUAUUCCUUAGUUUUAAUACAAUUUAAAAGAAUUGAGACACAUAGUUUCCUGGUGUGUUUUUAGCUUUAUUUUGGUGAUGAUGUCGCACAGCUCAUGUUGUGUCUGAUCCAAAGUGUGAGCACAAGAAUGUGCAAGGUGUGCAAUUAAGUCUGUCUGGAUAGACACCACUUGCUUGGAAAUACAAAUUAUUCAAUGCAAAUGCACAUGCUUAGAGAUACAAAAGAUUGAAUAAGGGAAGAAUUCCAGAGCUGUGUUGAUCCCAGUAACUGUCACUUACACAGUGAAGUAUGGAGUAAAUGAAAAGCCCAUUUUGUAUUUCCAGCAGGAAUUUUUUCAUUGGAAUUGUUUUGUUUAGCUCUCAGCUAAGAGGUUGUAUUUACCCUGAAAACAGCAUAUUAUUCUGUGUGGUCUUAACAGCAAUUUUGAGGUUUUUGCAGAUAUUCUUGUAUCUUACUAGUGUAUACAGAGGCUGGUACUGUACCUGAAGCCUGAGUGUAUCCUUUGUUUUCAGGGAAUCGGGAGACUGUUUGUGGAUACUUUAACAAAGCAAAAUCAUGACUGAAUUUGGGAAAUCUCUCCUUACAAAAUUAUGGUCCCGCUUGGAUGUGGUCCUGGGAGUUGUAUUGGUGGGGGUGGAGGACUGAGUUUUAGAAACCACACAGUGGGUAUAAAUUACAUUAUGUUCUGUUAACAUAUUUCCUGGUAAAGCUGUGUAAUGGAUGGGGUGUUCUUGGGAAUGGCUGUAAAAUGGUCAUAGUAAUAACUGACUUGGCUCUUAAAUUCCAGUUCUCACGGAAACUGGUUGUGCUUUGGACAUGUUUAGAGACAGUCAGCAAAGAGAAAGUGGAAGGGAUGUGAGGGAAGACAGAGCUUCAAGGCAUUUUUUGACAGAGGAGGUGUCACCAGUUAGGGUCUCAGUCUUGCCCCAGCAUCUCUGGCUGUAUUUCCUACAUCUGAGCAACCACUACAGGGCCAAGAAGCUGAAGGUGGUGAAACAGCAGUCUACAAAGGUUUGCCCUAAAAAUAAACUUUAAAAGAAAAAUCACCUGUGGAAGUACAAUUUGAGUGGCGCAUGGGACAGAUAAACCCCAUGGGCAGCUUCUGCUGUCAGAGCUGAGGGUGUGUCUGUAAGACUCAAGCACUUGGGGAUACUCAGGGUGAAUGUCUGUCUAGGAAAUGGGGAGAGUAUGACAAGGCUCUUGGCCUGGAUUAGAGGGAGGCAUUGCAAAGUCAUAAGAAAACUGAGGCAAUAGCUGGGAUUUAAUGAAAGAUUUAAUCUGAGAGGUAACCUUUAUCUCAGGUAUUUGUUAGGGGUGAGCAGAGGGGGAAGAAGAGAGGGAAAAUUUGGUAUGAAGAAUAAUUGAUAAGCUUAUUCCAAUCUCUGAUUUGUAUGCCUUUCUCAGAUUCUGUACAUCAGCAUUAAUUCACCUUGCUAUUGGUCUCCCUUUUUUAUCCCUGCAAAGUUCUUCAGCUGAUUCCAUGACUAUUCAGUGUUUCUCCAAGUUUUACAUCUCAGUCAGUUAAUUUUUAAACUUGCUUUACUGGUCUUGUGCUGCACACAGUCUCAGUUAACAGGAAAUUUAAUGAGUCUUGUUCUUCCAAUAGCCCUGUUCUGGAUUUUUCAAUGAUUUAUAUUAUUGAGGGCUAAGUCAGCCCUUUUGCUGGUUGUAUGUGAAGAAUUAUUGUUGGAGAAUUUUUCAGUUUGAGUAAUUGUUAGGAAUGGAGAUGAAGCUCUUGUGUUUUGUCAACUUGGUUUUGUUUGCAGUAGGAGAACUGCCUCUCAUUCGUGACUGGUUUCUGCUCAGAAUGGUGGGAUUUCUGCUGUGGAAACCAGGCUGUGAGCUGGCACACACAGGGGGCUGUCCUCCAACACAGGCUACCAAGUUCACAAGUCAAAACCUACGCAGACUUUGAAGCAUUAGCAGAGAGAUUUCCAUUACUUGGAUACCUCAAAUUUGACUUGCUUUGCAGCCUUUUUCAUUUUCCAGUUGUGUGCAGUAACUUUAGUUUAAUUUUAUGUCAAGAUCUUUAUUACUUUCUGUUCCAAAGCCUCAUUGUUCUUCUUUGCUUCUAUCUUAGAACAAACCAACCAGCCUGUGGUGCUUGUAAUGAUUGUGCUUCAUAUCUCUGUGAUUAAAGAUGGUCUAUACAGAAGGAAAUAUUAAGUGAAGUCCUUUCUACGCCAUCAGCCUGCUGGCCUGUGUUUAUCUUUUGUCACAAAGUAAAACGAAUGUAUCCUGGAAUCUGGCUGCCUGUUUGUACAAGCAUAAAUAAUUAACCUGGAAUAUCCAAGGGAAGGCCAGAGAUGGCUGAAAGGGAUGUUUGCCAGCAGAGUUCACUGUGACUUCCCCCACCCACCUUUUCUAAGGAAGAUGUGGACAUACUGCUGGUUUGUCUUGUCUUGUCUCCAAAAUUAACUUGGAUACUAAAUUGAAGGCCGUGGUUAGCUCAGAUCAUAUCCACAUGUAAAGGUCCUUAAUUUGAACAUGGAGGCUCCUACCUUUAACUUGCAAAGUGUGAUUGAAUGCAGUCCCAGGUGCACAUUUGCCUGCUGUUUUGCAUUGGUAGAGGCUGGGUCUAUGGAAUAUUUUCAUCACUUGCGUUAUUUACUUUACUUUUUCCCCCCAGGAAACUGUGUCGUUUGAACACUGUACAGCUGGAAACACUUGUAACAUCUUAGCAGUGUGCAAUGGGAUGGGGUGUGUUGGGAGUUGGACUCUGUGAUCCUUAUGGGUCCCUUCCAGAGACAUUCUGUGGUGUAUGGAAUAACUCUGGUGCUGAUGCAGUCAGGCUCUGUUUACAUGGGAAUGUUUGAAAUGGUUCCUCUCCCAGACUGUUUUUCUGUGCCUCUCUGCAAGUGCUGCCCUUGCUGCAGGAUGGUGUCUCGGGGUGAAUUAGCAGCUUGCUGAUGCAAUUCUCAGCUGGGUUGUUCAGACACUGGUGCCACUCCGUGCUCUCCUCACUGUACCAGUCCUGCUCCUGCAGCACCUCCUGAACCACAGCAGAUGAUUCAUUUCUGUUUGGAGGCAGGGUGGACAACCAGGGCCUGGCAGAGGAAUCUCUCAGCUCACUCAGGUUGCACCCCCAGGGUGAAUACUGACUUUGUCUAAGGCUCGUCCUCUCUUCACCUCCUGCCAAAUAUGCUUUCACACUAGCACUUCACCCAGCUGGCUAAUUUGGCCUUUGAAAUUAUCUCAAUAAUGUCGGGUACUUAAAAAAACAUUCCCAUCCCUUUAUAAAUAUUAUAAUCUAGAUGUAAAGACAUUGUUUCAGUGUUGUUUGGGAUCUGUUGUAUUAAAAAAUGAAGUUCUUCAGACCUGUGCAACAAUCAGGAGUGGAGCAUAAACAAAUCCUGUGUCAGGCUGAAACAAGUUGGUUGACUUUGAGGAGGCAGAACGUAAAUACCCAAGUCAGGAGAAUUAGUACUUUUCGUAAUGUUGCAACAAAUACAGGGAGAUCACUCCUGCUGACAAGCCCAGAACCUUUCUUGUUUAAAAGAAAGAAAAACUAAAGGAAAAAACACUUUGGAAAAUGGGCAAAGAGGGGAUUUGGGCAAGGCCUGGGCAAAGAGGGGAUUUGGGCAAGGCCUGGGCAAAGAGCUUAGAGUCUGUCUCAUCUCCUAAACCCCCUCUGAACCAGGGAUAAAAUUAAUAACUUUUUAAGCCUUUGUAGUUAAACCUACCCAAGUCCAUGAAUUUGGGGCUUGAAGUAGCAGCCAUCAGGUCCUCUCCUGUUGAAGAGAUGUGUUUAAGAAGGAAAUGUGGCACAGUCCCAGCUUUGCACAGCAGGGAGGGGCUGGCUGCUCUGCUGCUGGCAUGAUUUUGCAUCCAAGUCUCCCGUUGCUGACCUUUGCCACCUGUUUUUUUACUGGAAUUUAGAAAUCUGUGGCUUUUAAGUGAUACAGCUCUUGCAAAUAUUUUUUGCUCUAGUGGGUUUAACAUGCAAAUAGUGGAACAGAGCCAAUGGUCCAUCUCGGGCAGCCUGAUUCUGGAGAUUGCUCCAUAAAGGUUUAUUUCAGCUAUUAGCUUUUGUGCCAAUAUUUUUCUUACAAGAAAGAGUAAUAAUUUUUGCAACCGAAAAUUGAGGGUUUCACAGACUAUGAGUGGAAAAUUGGCAGCUGUGCUCAUCUACUGUAGACUGAAAGGCUGGGGCAGAGGGAACAGAGUUAAAUGAAAAAUAUAAUUCUUCAAUAAUAGCUUUAGAAAUUUAUGCAGCUAUUUUGAAAGCACACCUGAAAUAUAAAAUAAAGGUAAUAAUUACAUGGACAGACCAUAUGCAGAAAGUUACAGAUGUCAUCCUUCUCCAGCUCAAUAAAUUAUUCUUAAAACUGGGGAUGGCAAAGUAAAGUUAUUUGAUUUUUAAAAUCUCACAAGAACUUCAGGAUUGCUUUUGGCUGGUACUAGCAUGCUCAAGUUCUGAUUUGUACUUAGUCUCUCUUUCUUGAGAAGUUUUUCCUCAGAAACACGACAGGAAAAGGAAAUUAAAAGUUACUUUGUCGUGCUUCCACAGAGCAGCGGAUGGUAAUUCUCUAAUCCUUUGUUUCAAAUUGAAUUGCCAUAGUCCUGCACACUUCUCUUUUUGGUCAGUUGUUUUAAAAAAAUAUACAAGAGAAUCUUUCUCUGUUUAUACAGUUUGCCAGUGUAAGAAAUAAGUAAUUUGUAAUCCAUUCUAAAAAUACUUUCCUAGUGUGCCUGCUUUAAUUAUUACUAAGAGAGAGGAUUUGCGUUGUUUGUUUUUUUCAUGAGCUUCUGGGUUAAAUAGUGGAUUUCUUUGGUCUGUUUGCUUGACACGUGAGACAGUUUUUUCUCUGCUGCCUGUGUUACAUAGGGAAUGUUUCUCUGGAACUGAGAGGUGGAAUUCUAGUAGAAGUAUAUAAAAAUAAAUAAAUAAAGUAUUUGUUCCUUUGCACCUUCCCUUUCCCCAGUAUAGAAUUACAGUGAGACUGAGGGUGAGUCAGGAAGAAAAGGAGGUGGAGAUGAGAAGGGGAAAUGGUCCAUACCUGGGGAAUUGGCCAUUGAUUAUCUUCUGAGCCUUCAUUCUCAUGCUGAAAGAUUUUUUUUUCCCACUGGGGAAAGAGACUCCCUCAGCAGUAAUUAGGUCUUUUAUAGUUACCUUCCUUUCUUGGAUCUUAGUUUGAGAUAACUUAGAGCUCUAAUAUUUUCCUCUUUGGCUCUGGAGUUGUUUUUCCUGGCCUGUUAGAAGAGUUUAAUGGAUACUAAACAACUUGGAUUGCUGAGAUCCUACUGAGCAGUCCUUAUGGAAAAGCAAAAUGAGACUUGUAGCUGGUAAUAGGCCUGGUAGAAAUGGAGAUUGAUGGGAGUUUCCUGAUCUAAUUUUUUCUUAAACUGCUGUGCUGGUGAGUGGAAUUGGAGAGAGGGAAACGAUGUCUCAUUUGUGGCUCUUUCAAAGGAAAACAUCUUAAUGCAGAUUUUUUUUCAGUGUAUUUAUUUUUCUUCUGAAUGAGUCCCUGUCAUACUUAUCCCCAAACCUUUGUGUACUUACAGAUUGCUUCUUCUGUUGCAGAAUUCCUGCCAUGCUUUGUCUCCCCAUGUAUUCACACUUUGUGUACAAGGAGCAGGAGGUUUCACUUGCAUUUGAUGGGACUUAGUGAAAAGGUCUCUUCCAGGAAUCCCAGAAUCCAGAAUUCUGUUCUUUGUUCAGAAAAUGUUUAGCCCCUGAUCUAAAAUGGAUGGGUUCUGAAACAUCAACAAAAAUCUGAUUUAGCAUUUGUAAACAUGAAGUAAAGAAAAUUAGGAGGUUUUAAUGCAAAGGGAUGUUAAUUAAAUCUUCUGUGUGUUAUAACAAUAGAAUUAAAGUAGCAAAUAUAAAGCCAAAUUUAUAUGUAAAUAUUCCAAUCCCAGAUAAAGAAAACAAUGGUUACAGUUAAUAUUUAGGUGGUGUUUUUUAUGAAUUAUUAUCAGGUAUUAUUUUAGCUGAUAUGAUUACCAGAAAGCUUUUUUUUUUUUUUAACGGUUUUAAAGAUUUCUUUAUCUCCUUUUUUUG
Molecule: long non-coding RNA, 15479 nt
Organism: Parus major (Great Tit)
Lineage: Eukaryota; Metazoa; Chordata; Aves; Passeriformes; Paridae
Exons: 3
Source: RefSeq, a predicted model, not a curated record